GCUAGGUUGUAUUAUUAGUUAAUGCAAGAUCGACUACGUCGACUAAAGUUCUAGGUAGAAUAAUGAUGAUGACAAUUUUUUACCUAUAUGUCUUGACCAAGUCUCGUGCCAGCAGUCGCGGUAAUACGUGGAAGACUAGUGUUAUUCAUCUUUAUUAGGUUUAAAGGGUACCUAGACGGUAUUUCUAGCCCAAAAUAGGGUACGGAUUUACUAGAGUUUUAUGUGAGGAGGGGAGUACUCGUGGAGUAGAGAUGAAAUUUUGUUAUACUAUGAGGUAACUGGUGGCGGCGAAAGCAACCUUCUAUGUAUAAACUGACGUUGAGGGACGAAGGCUUGGGUAGCAAAUAGGAUUAGAUACCCUAGUAGUCCAAGCAGACAAUUCUGAAUGCCAUAGAUUAGAUUAUUUUUGGUCUAUAAAUGAAAGUGUAAGCAUUCCACCUUAGGAGUAAUGUGGCAACACAGGAACUGAAAUCAUUAGACCGUUUCUGAAACCAGUAGUGAAGUAUGUUAUUUAAUUUGAUGGUCCACAAAAAACCUUACCACAACUUGAAUAUUUUUUAAUUAAUACAAGCGUUGCACGGCUGUCUUCAGUUAAUGUCGUGAGAUUUUGGUUAACUCCAUUAAUUAACGUAAACCCUUACUUUAUUUA
RNAcentral lists this ribosomal RNA (649 nucleotides) under Acarospora peltastica. Its description in RNAcentral is "SSU rRNA". It matches the Rfam family "Bacterial small subunit ribosomal RNA", at positions 383 to 1117 of the family's 1533-position model. The record is from RNAcentral. Lineage: Eukaryota; Fungi; Ascomycota; Lecanoromycetes; Acarosporales; Acarosporaceae.